This is a long non-coding RNA of Cygnus olor (mute swan), 644 nucleotides long. RefSeq lists it as uncharacterized. Lineage: Eukaryota; Metazoa; Chordata; Aves; Anseriformes; Anatidae. The transcript has 3 exons. The record is from RefSeq and is a predicted model, not a curated record.
UCUCCUAUUUCCUCUCCUAAAUCUGGUGUCUUAGCUUGUACCCAACUAUUUCAGCUCUUGCCCAUUUCCCCAGAAAAAUUAAAAAAAAAACAAAAAAACACAACUCACAGUCAGUGAUUUCAGCUGUUGCCCCAUGUUUCCCCCAAAAGCUUUAUUAUUCAGCUCCUCUUCAGCUCAGGUCCAGCUCCUCUUUCUCAGCUCUUUCCCAUGAUUUCACCUUUUGCUCCCCUAUUUCCUCUCUUGAAUGCAGACUCUUAGCUCCCACCCAAGUACUUCAGCUCUUGCCCAUUUCCCCAGAAAAAUUAAAAAAAAACACAAAACAACUCUCAUCAGUGAUUUCAACUGUUGCCCCAUGUUUCCCCAAAACAGCUUUAUUAUUCAGCUCCUCUUCAGCUCAGGUCCAGCUCUUCUUCCUCAGCCUCCUCCCAGGGUGUUCAGCUUUUGCCCCAAGUUUCCCCCCAAAGGUUAAAAACUCAACUCACAGUCAGUGAUUUCAGCUGUUGCCCCAUGUUUCCCCAAAAAGCUUUAUUAUUCAGCUCCUCUUCAGCUCAGAUCCAGCCCUUUUCUUAGCUCUUUCCCAUGAUUUCACCUUUUGCUCCCCCAUUUCCUCUCUUGAAUGUGGAGUCUUAGCUUGUACCCAAGUA